AACGAACGCUGGCGGCAUGCCUAACACAUGCAAGUCGAACGAGACCUUCGGGUCUAGUGGCGCACGGGUGCGUAACGCGUGGGAACCUGCCCUUAGGUUCGGAAUAACUCCCCGAAAGGGGUGCUAAUACCGGAUAAUGUCUUCGGACCAAAGAUUUAUCGCCUUUGGAUGGGCCCGCGUUGGAUUAGCUAGUUGGUAGGGUAAAAGCCUACCAAGGCGACGAUCCAUAGCUGGUCUGAGAGGAUGAUCAGCCACACUGGGACUGAGACACGGCCCAGACUCCUACGGGAGGAAGCAGAGGGGAAUAUUGGACAAUGGGCGAAAGCCUGAUCCAGCAAUGCCGCGUGAGUGAUGAAGGCCUUAGGGUUGUAAAGCUCUUUUACCCGGGAUGAUAAUGACAGUACCGGGAGAAUAAGCGCCGGCUAACUCCGUG
RNAcentral lists this ribosomal RNA (433 nucleotides) under uncultured bacterium. RNAcentral describes it as "partial 16S ribosomal RNA". It matches the Rfam family "Bacterial small subunit ribosomal RNA", at positions 29 to 507 of the family's 1533-position model. The record is from RNAcentral.